UGAAAACCUAGAAUUAGAGUAAAUUUGCUAAUGAAUUCAAUAACUUUUCCACAAUAUUUUUAGUUAUGUGCUUAAGGUUCUCUCAGUGUUUCUUGCACUUUAUAAUUGUUUAAGCCUUUUUUCCUGGUUUUUGUAGGUUCUUGUUUGUUUGUUUGUUUUGAGACAGAGUUCAGCUCUGUCACCAGGCUGCAGUGCAGUGGCUCAGUGUCGGCUCACUGCAAACUCCACCUCCCAGGAUCAAGUGACACUCCUGCCUCAGCUUCCUGAGUAGCUGGGACCACAGGUUCGAACAGUUCUGCCACCUCAGCCUCUCAAGAAGCUGGGAUUAUAGCCAUGCACUACCACACCCAGCUAAUUUUUGUGUUUUUAGUAGAGACAGGGUUUCACUAUGUUGGCCAGGCUGGUCUUGAACUCUUGACCUCAAAAGAUUUAUUUGCCUCGGUCUGCCAAAGUGCUGGGAUUACAGGCUGGAGUGCAGUGGCACAAUCUUAGCUCACUGCAACCUCUACCUCUCAGAUUCAGGCCAUCCUCCCUAGGGACUGGAGACCUCUAUUAGUUGCUACUGUCCUCCUGGAAUGUGUAGCAUAGUAAACACUAAAGCUUUGCAGUCCCCUAAAACACCAUGAAGCCCUGAGAGUAAUGUACAGAUUCCUGAAAUUGAGAGUUAGGGUAACAGGGAAGAAGACACAUGGCCUGUUCUUGAACAUGGAAUGUGAACUCUGUAACAUAGACUGUCUCUCAUAAGGCCCUUUUCAGCUCAAACAGCAAGGCUCAGACAGCUUGCUCUUGUGCCUAACAGAGAGCCUUCUGUCUGAAGACUGGAAAGAUCUCCAGUGAGAUUUACUGUGAGGUACUGGUUCAAGUAACUGUGAAAACUGUAAAGUUCCACAGCCUGGCAUCUGCAAGGUGAAGAUCCAGGAAAGCCCAUGGCUUCGUUCAAAGGCAUGAGAGCCAGAAAGUCAAGGGCAAGAGAAAACUGGUGUUCCAGCCCCAUUUUUGGCCAGAAAGGGAAUUCAAUCUUCCUCCACCUUUUGCUCUCUUCUGGCCUGCAGAACAUUGGACGAGGCCAGCCCAUGAUCUUCACUCAGUCCACUGAUUCAAACCCUCAUCUCCUCCAGAAACAUCCUGUAGACACACCCAGAAAUUAUGGUUGAACAGCCACAUGAGCCUCUGAUGGCCCAGUGAAGCUGACACAUAAAAUUAUCACAUAAAAACACAUUUUCAAAUUCAGGUUGUUUUUGAAUGCCUACGUAUGAAGUUCUAAAAAGCAUGUACCUAUGAGGUAUUAGAAUGAAUACAUCCUUGUUUAAUUUCCAUAAUAGAAUAUGUAAAGUAAUAUUUUAUUUGUCUUAAAUAUAUCUUUAAUAUAAAUAUA
Long non-coding RNA from Callithrix jacchus (white-tufted-ear marmoset), 1375 nucleotides. RefSeq lists it as uncharacterized. The record is from RefSeq and is a predicted model, not a curated record. NCBI's taxonomy places the organism in Eukaryota, Metazoa, Chordata, Mammalia, Primates, Cebidae.